UCAUAAUUAGAGUCACUAAAAGUUAUCAUAAAAUUACAUGAACACGGUCGUAACUCGGAAGCAUUAGUUGAAUAUUAACUUUAUCACACAAUUGCUGUAAAGCGGUGUUUAGUUAGCUGGAUGGCAAUGAUAACGCGUUAGCUAGCUAAGUAGCUGCCUGGAAAAAGGCUGCCUCGACAAGAGAGAAACCAUAAUUCAAGUUCAAGAUGGAGCUACUUCCUGGGGACCAGGAGCGUCACACCGCAACCAUCUCCAUGGUGACACCAAUAAGGGGGAGUGGCAGAGGAACUAUGAUGUCAUCGAUUGGGAGCUCUUGGUGGUGAAGUUUGCAUUAGAGGCGUGGAGACACUGGCUGGAAGGCACUAAGGACCCAUUUCUCAUCCUCACGACCAUCGGAACCUGAAGUACAUACGGACAGCGAGGCGGCUGAACCCGCGUCAAGAAAGGUCGCUGAGGUACUGUUCCAGCAGGUCUUCCGGCACUAUGGCUGGUGCCGUCCCCUGCGACACCCCUCCACCUCCCCUGGAUAUCAAUGGGAGCCCUGCCUAUGUCGUCAGGUCCCUCCUGGACUCCCAACGUUGUGAGGGUUGGCUCCAGAACCUGGUGGACUGGGAGGGGUAUGGUCCAGAGGAGAGUUGAUUCCAACAUCGUCCUGGAUUUCCACCUCCUCCGUCCAGACCGGCCCACUCAUCACCCUCGUGGCCGUCCCCCUGGCCAGUGUCGUCCUUCGGCUAGAACCGUGCGUCAGGCGGGGGAUACUGUCACACCUACUCCUGCUUUUCCACUCCAACACUCGACAUUGCCAGUCUACUAACCACCGGUCCUGGCUACCCACAUUACGCACACCUGCUCCCCAUUGUUACGCACACCUGGACUUCAAUUAUCAUCCUGAUUUCUCUCCCUUUAUUUAGGCCUCAGUAGCCUUCAGGCAGUAUUGGUUAUGAUAUUCUUCAUGUUUUUUAUUAUUAAACUCACCUUCUGCACCUGC
Long non-coding RNA from Oncorhynchus keta (chum salmon), 988 nucleotides. RefSeq lists it as uncharacterized. The record is from RefSeq and is a predicted model, not a curated record. Lineage: Eukaryota; Metazoa; Chordata; Actinopteri; Salmoniformes; Salmonidae. The transcript has 4 exons.